CGAACUUCCGUUAAUUGAUUAUGACGUACUUGUACUGAUUGAGAUUUUAACACGAAGUGAGUGGCGAACGGGUGAGUAACACGUGGGUAACCUGCCCAGAAGUAGGGGAUAACACCUGGAAACAGAUGCUAAUACCGUAUAACAGAGAAAACCGCAUGGUUUUCUUUUAAAAGAUGGCUCUGCUAUCACUUCUGGAUGGACCCGCGGCGUAUUAGCUAGUUGGUGAGGUAAAGGCUCACCAAGGCAGUGAUACGUAGCCGACCUGAGAGGGUAAUCGGCCACAUUGGGACUGAGACACGGCCCAGACUCCUACGGGAGGCAGCAGUAGGGAAUCUUCCACAAUGGACGCAAGUCUGAUGGAGCAACGCCGCGUGAGUGAAGAAGGGUUUCGGCUCGUAAAGCUCUGUUGUUAAAGAAGAACGUGGGUAAGAGUAACUGUUUACCCAGUGACGGUAUUUAACCAGAAAGCCACGGCUAACUACGUGCCAGCAGCCGCGGUAAUACGUAGGUGGCAAGCGUUAUCCGGAUUUAUUGGGCGUAAAGCGAGCGCAGGCGGUCUUUUAAGUCUAAUGUGAAAGCCUUCGGCUCAACCGAAGAAGUGCAUUGGAAACUGGGAGACUUGAGUGCAGAAGAGGACAGUGGAACUCCAUGUGUAGCGGUGAAAUGCGUAGAUAUAUGGAAGAACACCAGUGGCGAAGGCGGCUGUCUGGUCUGCAACUGACGCUGAGGCUCGAAAGCAUGGGUAGCGAACAGGAUUAGAUACCCUGGUAGUCCAUGCCGUAAACGAUGAUUACUAAGUGUUGGAGGGUUUCCGCCCUUCAGUGCUGCAGCUAACGCAUUAAGUAAUCCGCCUGGGGAGUACG
This 863-nucleotide ribosomal RNA is filed under the name Pediococcus pentosaceus. RNAcentral describes it as "bacterial SSU rRNA". It matches the Rfam family "Bacterial small subunit ribosomal RNA", at positions 47 to 884 of the family's 1533-position model. The record is from RNAcentral. Lineage: Bacteria; Bacillati; Bacillota; Bacilli; Lactobacillales; Lactobacillaceae.